UAUGCUUGUCUCAAAGACUAAGCCAUGCAUGUCUAAGUACGAGCCCAAGGACGGUGAAACUGCGAAUGGCUCAGUAAAUCAGUUAUGGUUCCUUAGACGAUACCCAGUUACUUGGAUAACUGUGGCAAUUCUAGAGCUAAUACAUGCAAUUGGCUCCGACCCCGACCCUAAGAAAGCCUAAGAGAAGGGGGAAGAGCGCGUUUAUCAGACGGGAACGGUAUAGCCAGUUCCUAGUUGACUCUGGAUAACCCUUGCCGAUCGCACGCCCACGUGGCGGCGACGCGUCUAUCAAGUGUCUGCCCUAUCAGCUGGAUUGUAGGAUCCUGGCCUACAAUGGGUGUAACGGGUGACGGGGAAUUUGGGUUCGGUUCCGGAGAGGGAGCAUGAGAAACGGCUACCACAUCCAAGGAAGGCAGCAGGCGCGGAACUUACCCAAUCUCGACACGAGGAGGUAGUGACGAAAAAUACCGAUACGAGUCUCUUUUCAAAGGCCUCGCAAUCGGAAUGAGUGCAGUGUAAAAGCUUGCACGACGAUCUAUUGGAGGGCAAGUCUGGUGCCAGCAGCCGCGGUAAUUCCAGCUCCAAUAGCGUAUAUUAAAAUUGCUGUGGUUAAAAAGCUCGUAGUUGGAUCUUCCGGGAGGGUURGUGGUAGUGGCGGUCCGAAUCGGACCCCUACACCCUAGCUGAGCUCCCCCUGGGGCAAUGUGUUAUCGACUGGGCACCGCUCUCUUCUUCAGGCGGAGGCGGGCUCGACUGAGCGGCUGGCCGUUUUACUUUGAAAAAAUUAGAGUGUUCAAAGCAGGCAGUGACGCCUGAAUAAUGGUGCAUGGAAUAAUUGAGCAGGACCCCGCAUCCUGUUUGGCUGGAUUGUCGGAUGUCAGGGGUAAUGGUAGACGGGAGCGGCACGAGGGCGAUCAGACUGCGACGUCAGAGGUGAAAUUCUUGGAUCGUCGCAAGAUGUUCCGAAGCGAAAGCAUUCGCCAAGUACGUUUCCUUCAACCAAGAACGAAAGUCAGAGGAUCGAAGACGAUCAGAUACCGUCGUAGUUCUGACCGUAAACUGUGCCAAUUGGCAGCCCGUCGAAGUCGGCAAAAAUACGGUUACUAUAAAAGUGCUGUUUACUCGACUCGGCGGGAGGCUUCCCGGAAACGAAAAUGAGGUUCCAGGGGAAGUACGGUUGCAAAGCUGAAACUUAAAGGAAUUGACGGAAGGGCACCACAAGGAGUGGGGCUUGCGGCUUAAUUUGACUCAACACGGGGAAACUUACUCGGUCCGAACACUGUUAGGAUUGACAGAUUGAUGCGGUUCUUUCUCGAUUUGGUGGGUGGUGGUGCAUGGCCGUUCUUAGUUGGUGGAGUGAUUUGUCUGGUUGAUUCCGAUAACGAGCGAGACUCUAGCCUGCUAAAUAGUGAGCCCAUGUGUCUUCGUGCACACAAUGAAGUCGGGUACGCAACAAAGCAAACUUUCACUUCUUAGAGGGACCGGUGGCGUUUAAGCAAGCCACACGAGGUAGAGCCAUAACAGGUCUGUGAUGCCCUUAGAUGUUCGAGGCCGCACGCGUGCCACAAUGGAAGAAUCAGCGUGGAUUACUACCUGCUCCGAGAGGAGUCGGGAAACCCCAUGAAUGUCUUUCUCGGUUGGGAUUGCGGAUUGCAAUGGUCCCCAUGAACGAGGAAUUCCUGGUAGGCGCCAGUCAUCAGCUGGCGCCGAAUGAGUCCCUGCCCUUUGUACACACCGCCCGUCGCUACUACCGAUUGAGUGGUUUAGUGAGGCCGUCGGACUGGAAUCCGAACCCUAAGCCUAGGCUAGGACGACGGGAAGACGGCCGAACUUGAUCAUUUAGAGGAAGUAAAAGUC
RNAcentral lists this ribosomal RNA (1857 nucleotides) under Adeuomphalus elegans. Its description in RNAcentral is "SSU rRNA". It matches the Rfam family "Eukaryotic small subunit ribosomal RNA". Lineage: Eukaryota; Metazoa; Mollusca; Gastropoda; Seguenziida. The record is from RNAcentral.